This 24-nucleotide non-coding RNA is filed under the name Arabidopsis thaliana (thale cress). The record is from RNAcentral. Lineage: Eukaryota; Viridiplantae; Streptophyta; Magnoliopsida; Brassicales; Brassicaceae.
CCAACAACUGGUGCAUUCGCUACU